RNAcentral lists this long non-coding RNA (379 nucleotides) under Brassica rapa (field mustard). RNAcentral's name for it is "long non-coding RNA (BRAP_LNC007098)". The record is from RNAcentral. Lineage: Eukaryota; Viridiplantae; Streptophyta; Magnoliopsida; Brassicales; Brassicaceae.
CCAGAGCCAAACAAAAGGAACUAAAAUCGAUUCUACAAACUUAUAAAACCAAAAGAAGCUAAUAGGCUAAUAGAAAACUGGAGAAAAAACAUAAAAUUCAUGAAAGAUGAAGCUGAUCGAAGCCGGAAGUAUGAUUGAGUGGAAAAUCGAAACGCACCUAACUUAUUAGAAUUGAGUCGAAAUUCUCACAACCGUUCCCAAAGGAACCACGAGGAACCAACACACUUACCACUUCUUAAACAAAAGAAGCCAUCCGAGAACAAGCCUUCAACCCGAGCAGCCAAAGAUGAGACACAUACACGUUUGACAAUCAACAACUCCAAGACCAUCGCAAUUGAGCAUAAGCUCCAAAGCCCCUUACAAAGAAUUUUGGAAAACU